UGGGGAAUUUUGGACAAUGGGCGCAAGCCUGAUCCAGCAAUGCCGCGUGCAGGAUGAAUGCCUUCGGGUUGUAAACUGCUUUUGUACGGAACGAAACGGCGAGCUCUAAUACAGUUUGCUAAUGACGGUACCGUAAGAAUAAGCACCGGCUAACUACGUGCCAGCAGCCGCGGUAAUACGUAGGGUGCAAGCGUUAAUCGGAAUUACUGGGCGUAAAGCGUGCGCAGGCGGUUAUGUAAGACAGAUGUGAAAUCCCCGGGCUUAACCUGGGAACUGCAUUUGUGACUGCAUAGCUAGAGUACGGUAGAGGGGGAUGGAAUUCCGCGUGUAGCAGUGAAAUGCGUAGAUAUGCGGAGGAACACCGAUGGCGAAGGCAAUCCCCUGGACCUGUACUGACGCUCAUGCACGAAAGCGUGGGGAGCAAACA
This 427-nucleotide ribosomal RNA is filed under the name uncultured bacterium. Its description in RNAcentral is "partial 16S ribosomal RNA". It matches the Rfam family "Bacterial small subunit ribosomal RNA", at positions 355 to 774 of the family's 1533-position model. The record is from RNAcentral.